CCCUUGGUAUCCCUCCAUGGUCUCUCCGACUGUCUGAGAUUUCUUUGGCUCGCCUCGGUCGAAUCCCCCUGGCCGGGUCCUUUGGACUCGCAACGGGAAAGGGAAUCGAGUGAAGGAGGGUACAACGCUGCGAAUUUCCUGAGAUUUCCCCGGAAUCCCUCCUCCGGUUUUGACAAAUAUGGUAUAAUGUAAAUGUAGGAGGUGGUUACGAGAGUGGGUAGUUGCAAUUCUGAGAAUGAUCAGCUGCUGAAGGAGUCUUAUAUCCCAAAUACGUACUGUUACCAGACUUAUCAGUAGAGCAUCUUUCCCGGUUGUCCUAUGAUAGUUUAUAUCAACACCAAAACCAGUGGUCAACUUGGAGGUGAUUUGAUUGUAACAUACGGUGCACUUCUUAACAGAGUACAGGUACUAUUCAUAUACAGAAGAUUAUUACUUCGAAUAGUACCUUGUACGAUCAGAUUUUAAACCUAAAACUAAUUUGUGCCUCAGUUAGACUAAGAAAAUGCAUUCAGAAUGCAUGGCUUUUAUUUAAAUUGUAUAAUUUUGAGGUUUUUGAUUUGAGUGAGGAAGCACGGAUAAGGUGCUGCAGAAGCUUUAUUGCUUUAUUGAUUUGAGUGAGGAAGCACCAAGUCUGAGGAUCACCACUGCUUUUAGCUCCUUUCAUCGCAGCUCCUUCCGGUUCGAGAAAGUGUGGCUUUCGUACCCCCAGUUCUAAAAUAUUGUUUGGGGGCCUGGGAGACUCCGGUGCGAGCGGAUGCCAUGUAGAGGAUUUUUCGUAAGUUGGAGCUCACCAGGCGAAGGCUGCGCAGAUGGAACCGAGAGGUGGUGGGCGACAUUUUCAGAUGGUUGGAUGAGAUGGAGGUGUCCAUUGCUGACCUUCAGAGAAGGGAGGAUAGUAGCAUCAAGCUAUUGGAGGACUGGAAAAUUUAAUUUGAUGAUGGUUCCUCCUUUUAUGUCUCAUCAUGCUGCCUAUGGAGUUGAAAAUGUACUUCAAUCAUUUUCUGUUAUCUUAAUUGUUUUGCCUUGUUGUGUUCUGAUUUUCAGCAUUAGGUCAAUUGUUUGUCUUGCCUAGCUUUUCUGGAAGUUUGAAUCUCCGGGGAACUCCAUGUACAAAGAAACAGAGAGAUGUGAACUCAUUUGCAUGACCAAGUUUUAUAAAUUCAUAUAGAUGGGACUCUGACUUCUAUAGUGCUCUCCUUUUUUUCAUUAUUACAUUUA
This is a non-coding RNA of Phoenix dactylifera (date palm), 1218 nucleotides long. Lineage: Eukaryota; Viridiplantae; Streptophyta; Magnoliopsida; Arecales; Arecaceae. The record is from RefSeq and is a predicted model, not a curated record.